RNAcentral lists this long non-coding RNA (389 nucleotides) under Dermacentor andersoni. RNAcentral's name for it is "uncharacterized LOC126534618". Lineage: Eukaryota; Metazoa; Arthropoda; Arachnida; Ixodida; Ixodidae. The record is from RNAcentral.
GCAGCUUGGCGUCAUCGUGCAGCUCUUCGUACGUGAGGAAGAGAACGUUGCUCUCGUGUCUUCGAGUGUACCACGGAAUGAGGCUGCCUUUUAAGUAGCAUCCGUAGUUGCUGCGGCCGGAUACAAAGCGCUUGACGUGCUCGUCGAAGGGGACGACAUGCUCAUCCUCGGCGGCCGUCUGUGUUUGCAAGUGAUGGUAGGCAGAGACGCAAACGUCGUAAGGGUUUCUGGCGACGUAUAUGUACUUAGAGUGAGGUGAAAAUCUUUUCUCUUCAAAAGGAAGGUGAGUCUUGAUGGUGCCCGGCUUAGACAUAUUCUCCACAGCAUCGACACCGAAAAGCUCUAGAAAAGGUGACGCAGCAAAGAACUGCGAAAGUUCUGUCGGUGGC